Transfer RNA from Ovis aries (sheep), 72 nucleotides. It matches the Rfam family "tRNA". From Rfam's summary of the family: Transfer RNA (tRNA) molecules are approximately 80 nucleotides in length. Their secondary structure includes four short double-helical elements and three loops (D, anti-codon, and T loops). Lineage: Eukaryota; Metazoa; Chordata; Mammalia; Artiodactyla; Bovidae. The record is from Rfam.
UCCCCGGCAGUCCACUGGUUAAGCCUCUGCACUUCCAAUGCAGGGGCCUAGGUUCGGUUCCUGGUUGGGGAG